Molecule: ribosomal RNA, 115 nt
Filed under: Acanthosepion pharaonis
Lineage: Eukaryota; Metazoa; Mollusca; Cephalopoda; Sepiida; Sepiidae
Source: RNAcentral
UUACGGUCAAAUCACGCUGAAAACACCGGUUCUCGUUCGAUCACCGAAGUUAAGCAUCGUAGAGCCAGGUUAGUACUUAGAUGGGGGACCGCUUGGGAACACCUGGUACUGUAAG